GUGUCAGCCGCCGCGGUAAAACCAGCACCUCAAGUGGUCAGGAUGAUUAUUGGGCCUAAAGCAUCCGUAGCCGGCUUUGUUAGUUUUCGGUUAAAUCCAUAUGCUCAACAUAUGGGCCGCCGGGAAUACUACAAAGCUAGGGAGUGGGAGAGGUAGACGGUACUCCGUAGGAAGGGGUAAAAUCCUUUGAUCUAUGGAUGACCACCAGUGGCGAAGGCGGUCUACCAGAACACGUUCGACGGUGAGGGAUGAAAGCUGGGGGAGCAAACCGGAUUAGAUACCCGGGUAGUCCCAGCUGUAAACUAUGCAAACUCAGUGAUGCAUUGGCUUGUGGCCAGUGCAGUGCCGCAGAGAAGUCGUUAAGUUUGCCGCCUGGGAAGUACGUACGCAAGUAUGAAACUUAAAGGAAUUGGCGGGGGAGCACCACAAGGGGUGAAGCCUGCGGUUCAAUUGGAGUCAACGCCAGAAAUCUUACCCGGAGAGACAGCAGGAUGAAGGUCAAGCUGAAGACUUUACCAGACAAGCUGAGAAGUGGUGCAUGGCCGUCGCCAGCUCGUGCCGUGAGGUGUCCUGUUAAGUCAGGUAACGAGCGAGAUCCUUGCCUCUAGUUGCCACCAUUACUCUCAGGAGUAGUGGGGCGAAUUAGCGGGACUGCCGUAGUUAAUACGGAGGAAGGAGAGGGCCACGGCAGGUCAGUAUGCCCUGAAACUCUGGGGCCACACGCGGGCUGCAAUGGUAGUGACAAUGUGUUCCGAAUCCGAAAGGAGGAGGUAAGCCUCAAACGCUACCACAGUUAUGACUGAGGGCUAUAACUCGCCCUCACGAAUAUGGAAUCCCUAGUAACUGCGUGUCAUUAUCGCGCGGUGAAUACGUCCCUGCUCCUUGUACACACCGCCCGUC
Molecule: ribosomal RNA, 900 nt
Filed under: uncultured archaeon
Lineage: Archaea
Description: bacterial SSU rRNA
Rfam family: Archaeal small subunit ribosomal RNA
Source: RNAcentral